Molecule: small RNA, 837 nt
Filed under: uncultured Blumeria
Lineage: Eukaryota; Fungi; Ascomycota; Leotiomycetes; Helotiales; Erysiphaceae
Description: eukaryotic LSU rRNA
Rfam family: Eukaryotic large subunit ribosomal RNA (bases 553-837)
Source: RNAcentral
CUUGGUCAUUUAGAGGAAGUAAAAGUCGUAACAAGGUUUCCGUAGGUGAACCUGCGGAAGGAUCAUUACAGAGCGUGAAGCUAUGCGGAACUUCGUUUCGUGUAGUUGACCCUCCACCCGUGUCGAUUAUCUCAUGUUGCUUUGGCGGAUCGGGCUUGCCCGCGCCCACUUUGUGGGGGAUAUCCGCCAGGGAAGACCAAAACUCUUGUUAUCAGUGAUGUCUGAGGAUGAUAUAUAAUCAUGAAAACUUUCAACAACGGAUCUCUUGGCUCUGGCAUCAAUGAAGAACGCAGCGAAAUGCGAUAAGUAAUGUGAAUUGCAGAAUUUAGUGAAUCAUCGAAUCUUUGAACGCACAUUGCGCCCCUGGGAAUUCCCAGGGGCAUGCCUGUUCGAGCGUCCGUAACAACCUCUCAAGCCUGGCUUGGUAUUGGGACUCGCUGCCUCGGUGGUGGUCCUCAAAAGCAGUGGCGGGCCCAUGUAACUCUCCGCGUAGUAAUACAUCUCGCGACAGAGAAGCAGCGGGACUUGCCAAAACUCCUUAAUUGCUCAGGUUGACCUCGAAUCAGGUAGGGAUACCCGCUGAACUUAAGCAUAUCAAUAAGCGGAGGAGAAGAAACCAACAGGGAUUACCUCAGUAACGGCGAGUGAAGCGGUAACAGCUCAAAUUUGAAAUCUGGUCCGUUUACGGGCCCGAGUUGUAAUUUGUAGAAGAUGCUUUGGUGACGAGUCCGGCCUAAGUUCCUUGGAACAGGACGUCAUAGAGGGUGAGAACCCCGUAUGCGGCCGGGUGCUCGAUGCUAUGUAAAGCUCUUUCGACGAGUCGAGUUGUUUGGGAAU